UGUGUGUUAGUGGAAGCGUCUGGAAAGGCGCGCGAUACAGGGUGACAGCCCCGUACACAAAAAUGCACAUGCUGUGAGCUCGAUGAGUAGGGCGGGACACGUGGUAUCCUGUCUGAAUAUGGGGGGACCAUCCUCCAAGGCUAAAUACUCCUGACUGACCGAUAGUGAACCAGUACCGUGAGGGAAAGGCGAAAAGAACCCCGGCGAGGGGAGUGAAAAAGAACCUGAAACCGUGUACGUACAAGCAGUGGGAGCACGCUUAGGCGUGUGACUGCGUACCUUUUGUAUAAUGGGUCAGCGACUUAUAUUCUGUAGCAAGGUUAACCGAAUAGGGGAGCCGAAGGGAAACCGAGUCUUAACUGGGCGUUAAGUUGCAGGGUAUAGACCCGAAACCCGGUGAUCUAGCCAUGGGCAGGUUGAAGGUUGGGUAACACUAACUGGAGGACCGAACCGACUAAUGUUGAAAAAUUAGCGGAUGACUUGUGGCUGGGGGUGAAAGGCCAAUCAAACCGGGAGAUAGCUGGUUCUCCCCGAAAGCUAUUUAGGUAGCGCCUCGUGAAUUCAUCUCCGGGGGUAGAGCACUGUUUCGGCAAGGGGGUCAUCCCGACUUACCAACCCGAUGCAAACUGCGAAUACCGGAGAAUGUUAUCACGGGAGACACACGGCGGGUGCUAACGUCCGUCGUGAAGAGGGAAACAACCCAGACCGCCAGCUAAGGUCCCAAAGUCAUGGUUAAGUGGGAAACGAUGUGGGAAGGCCCAGACAGCCAGGAUGUUGGCUUAGAAGCAGCCAUCAUUUAAAGAAAGCGUAAUAGCUCACUGGUCGAGUCGGCCUGCGCGGAAGAUGUAACGGGGCUAAACCAUGCACCGAAGCUGCGGCAGCGACGCUUAUGCGUUGUUGGGUAGGGGAGCGUUCUGUAAGCCUGCGAAGGUGUGCUGUGAGGCAUGCUGGAGGUAUCAGAAGUGCGAAUGCUGACAUAAGUAACGAUAAAGCGGGUGAAAAGCCCGCUCGCCGGAAGACCAAGGGUUCCUGUCCAACGUUAAUCGGGGCAGGGUGAGUCGACCCCUAAGGCGAGGCCGAAAGGCGUAGUCGAUGGGAAACAGGUUAAUAUUCCUGUACUUGGUGUUACUGCGAAGGGGGGACGGAGAAGGCUAUGUUGGCCGGGCGACGGUUGUCCCGGUUUAAGCGUGUAGGCUGGUUUUCCAGGCAAAUCCGGAAAAUCAAGGCUGAGGCGUGAUGACGAGGCACUACGGUGCUGAAGCAACAAAUGCCCUGCUUCCAGGAAAAGCCUCUAAGCAUCAGGUAACAUCAAAUCGUACCCCAAACCGACA
RNAcentral lists this ribosomal RNA (1331 nucleotides) under Escherichia coli. RNAcentral's name for it is "partial 23S ribosomal RNA". It matches the Rfam family "Bacterial large subunit ribosomal RNA", at positions 323 to 1659 of the family's 2925-position model. Lineage: Bacteria; Pseudomonadati; Pseudomonadota; Gammaproteobacteria; Enterobacterales; Enterobacteriaceae. The record is from RNAcentral.